UGCAAUCUCAUCUUCAGCCCAACGAAAAGCAAAAGGAUUUUCAGCCCAUAUCAUACUCACAAGCCCAUGAACAAAUUGAGAUUUCAGAAUUCAAGUUCUUAAUUCGGAUUUUUAAAAUAGUAGCUUUAAGGCAUUGAACUCUGCUUCUCGUGGAUCAUGGAACUGCAACACAUGAGAUCUCCGAACAAGUGCAAGUGAAGUAUUGUACAUCAUCCACCAAACUUUGAUAUUGUUGAAUCGGCCACUAUGGGACUGUUCUGGCGGCAACCUUUGACUUGGUGUUGAUUGGAGCAAGUCAAGAAUUGCUUUCUCUUUGUUGAAUCACUAUUCGAGAGCAGAUAAUAGAAGGAGAGGGGUGAAGAAAUUGAAGUCUACUAAUUUUGGUAAGACUACAAGGAAAAUGGUAUGUUCUAUAUAUUUGGUUUCAUUUAUUUAGAAACUAAUAAAACAUGGUCACCAUUGGCGACGACUUAGUUGAGCAA
This is a long non-coding RNA of Arabidopsis lyrata subsp. lyrata, 482 nucleotides long. RefSeq lists it as uncharacterized. The transcript has 2 exons. NCBI's taxonomy places the organism in Eukaryota, Viridiplantae, Streptophyta, Magnoliopsida, Brassicales, Brassicaceae. The record is from RefSeq and is a predicted model, not a curated record.